This is a non-coding RNA of Parelaphostrongylus tenuis, 73 nucleotides long. Lineage: Eukaryota; Metazoa; Nematoda; Chromadorea; Rhabditida; Metastrongylidae. The record is from the annotation of a GenBank genome assembly.
GCGUCGGGAGUGCAACGGUUCAGCACACGGUCCCGGAAAGAAUGAGAUCUCGGUUCGAAUCCAGGCUGACGCA